GGCGGGUGUGCUGUCCCUUUCGUGAGGGUUAAUACGAAAAGGGUGCGUAGGGCGGUACAUUAGGUCUGUCGUGAAAUCCCCGGGCUCAACCUGGGAAUGGCGGUGGAAACCGGUGAACUAGAGUAUGGGAGAGGGUGGUGGAAUUCCAGGUGUAGCGGUGAAAUGCGUAGAGAUCUGGAGGAACAUCAGUGGCGAAGGCGGCCACCUGGCCCAAUACUGACGCUGAGGCACGAAAGCGUGGGGAGCAAACAGGAUUAGAUACCCUUGUAGUCCACGCCCUAAACGAUGAAUACUAGAUGUUUGGUGCCAAGCGUACUGAGUGUCGUAGCUAACGCGAUAAGUAUUCCGCCUGGGAAGUACGGCCGCAAGGUUAAAACUCAAAGGAAUUGACGGGGGCCCGCACAAGCGGUGGAGCAUGUGGUUUAAUUCGAUGCAACGCGAAGAACCUUACCUGGGCUUGACAUGUCUGGAAUCCUGCAGAGAUGCGGGAGUGCCCUUCGGGGAAUCAGAACACAGGUGCUGCAUGGCUGUCGUCAGCUCGUGUCGUGAGAUGUUGGGUUAAGUCCCGCAACGAGCGCAACCCUUGUCCUUAGUUGCCAGCGGUUCGGCCGGGCACUCUAGGGAGACUGCCGGUGACAAACCGGAGGAAGGUGGGGAUGACGUCAAGUCCUCAUGGCCUUUAUGUCCAGGGCUACACACGUGCUACAAUGGCGCGUACAGAGGGAAGCCAAGCCGCGAGGUGGAGCAGACCCCAGAAAGCGCGUCGUAGUUCGGAUUGCAGUCUGCAACUCGACUGCAUGAAGUCGGAAUCGCUAGUAAUCGCGGGAUCAGCAUGCC
This 837-nucleotide ribosomal RNA is filed under the name uncultured bacterium. RNAcentral describes it as "bacterial SSU rRNA". It matches the Rfam family "Bacterial small subunit ribosomal RNA", at positions 1 to 1358 of the family's 1533-position model. The record is from RNAcentral.